ACACUCAGCUUUCAAAGAAUAGUAGGCUUAUCCAACUGGAGUAUCUAAAAUAAUGUCUCAUAAGAGAAGUGCUUGUGUCACUCAAAGAAACAAAAAAAUCUGGACGAAGAAUCUCAUGGAAUUUCAAGACUCACAUAGGAAAAGAAGACCUGUUCCUCUGGAAGAGCAUUCUUUGGAAAACAACUGCAGGAUACCAAUAAAACUUCAAAUUGUCGGUCGCUACUUGUUCCUUGGAGGUACCAUCAAAGGAAGGAAAGGGAAAACAAAGGAAAUUUCGAAAGAAGUAACUUUUUUAUGGCAAAAGAAAUUAAAUUUCUCAUAUCUAUCAAUUCAAAAUGUACAAGCAAAAGUAGAAAAAGUGCUGAAUACCUACGAUAAAUGUGUAAAACAAGGAAAAUAUGAUUCAUUGAAAGGAACUUUUGACAUCACAAAGGAAAACGGUGAAUGGCUGUACAGUGAGGACAGAAGUUAUAUUAUCUUCAAAUUGAAAGCAAGGGACAGUUUGUGUAUGCAACUGGAAAGGCAGCCAGUUCCAAAACAAUCCAUCCAUCCAAAAGAAGAAAAGUGUCCUUAAUGCCAACUUCAGCCAGAGCAACUACAGU
Molecule: unclassified non-coding RNA, 602 nt
Filed under: Octopus sinensis (East Asian common octopus)
Lineage: Eukaryota; Metazoa; Mollusca; Cephalopoda; Octopoda; Octopodidae
Description: uncharacterized LOC118762645, transcript variant X1
Source: RNAcentral